UAAAGGGUGCGUAGGCGGUUUAUUAAGUCAGUGGUGAAAGACGGUCGCUCAACGAUUGCAGUGCCAUUGAUACUGGUAGACUUGAGUGGGAUUGAGGUAGCUGGAAUGGAUAGUGUAGCGGUGAAAUGCAUAGAUAUUAUCCAGAACACCAAUUGCGUAGGCAAGUUACUAAGUCUCAACUGACGCUGAGGCACGAAAGUGUGGGUAUCAAACAGGAUUAGAUACCCGAU
This 230-nucleotide ribosomal RNA is filed under the name uncultured bacterium. Its description in RNAcentral is "partial 16S ribosomal RNA". It matches the Rfam family "Bacterial small subunit ribosomal RNA", at positions 561 to 791 of the family's 1533-position model. The record is from RNAcentral.